CCUACGGGCGGCAGCAGUGAGGAAUAUUGGUCAAUGGACGAGAGUCUGAACCAGCCAAGUAGCGUGAAGGAUGACUGCCCUAUGGGUUGUAAACUUCUUUUAUAAAGGAAUAAAACGAGGCACGUGUGCCUUUUUGCAUGUACUUUAUGAAUAAGGACCGGCUAACUCCGUGCCAGCAGCCGCGGUAAUACGGAGGAUCCGAGCGUUAUCCGGAUUUAUUGGGUUUAAAGGGAGCGUAGAUGGGUUGGUAAGUCAGUUGUGAAAGUUUGCGGCUCAACCGUAAAAUUGCAAUUGAUACUGGCAGGCUGGAGUGCAGUUGAGGUAAGCGGAAUUCGUGGUGUAGCGGUGAAAUGCUUAGAUAUCACGAAGAACCCCGAUUGCGAAGGCAGCUUACUAAACUGUAACUGACAUUGAUGCUCGAAAGUGUGGGUAUCAAACAGGAUUAGAUACCCCUGUAGUC
This 460-nucleotide ribosomal RNA is filed under the name uncultured bacterium. RNAcentral describes it as "partial 16S ribosomal RNA". It matches the Rfam family "Bacterial small subunit ribosomal RNA", at positions 338 to 795 of the family's 1533-position model. The record is from RNAcentral.